This 661-nucleotide ribosomal RNA is filed under the name Salmonella enterica. RNAcentral's name for it is "bacterial SSU rRNA". It matches the Rfam family "Bacterial small subunit ribosomal RNA", at positions 1 to 651 of the family's 1533-position model. The record is from RNAcentral. RNAcentral also lists the same sequence under 1 other name. Lineage: Bacteria; Pseudomonadati; Pseudomonadota; Gammaproteobacteria; Enterobacterales; Enterobacteriaceae.
AAAUUGAAGAGUUUGAUCAUGGCUCAGAUUGAACGCUGGCGGCAGGCCUAACACAUGCAAGUCGAACGGUAACAGGAAGCAGCUUGCUGCUUCGCUGACGAGUGGCGGACGGGUGAGUAAUGUCUGGGAAACUGCCUGAUGGAGGGGGAUAACUACUGGAAACGGUGGCUAAUACCGCAUAACGUCGCAAGACCAAAGAGGGGGACCUUCGGGCCUCUUGCCAUCAGAUGUGCCCAGAUGGGAUUAGCUGGUUGGUGAGGUAACGGCUCACCAAGGCGACGAUCCCUAGCUGGUCUGAGAGGAUGACCAGCCACACUGGAACUGAGACACGGUCCAGACUCCUACGGGAGGCAGCAGUGGGGAAUAUUGCACAAUGGGCGCAAGCCUGAUGCAGCCAUGCCGCGUGUAUGAAGAAGGCCUUCGGGUUGUAAAGUACUUUCAGCGGGGAGGAAGGUGUUGUGGUUAAUAACUGCAGCAAUUGACGUUACCCGCAGAAGAAGCACCGGCUAACUCCGUGCCAGCAGCCGCGGUAAUACGGAGGGUGCAAGCGUUAAUCGGAAUUACUGGGCGUAAAGCGCACGCAGGCGGUCUGUCAAGUCGGAUGUGAAAUCCCCGGGCUCAACCUGGGAACUGCAUUCGAAACUGGCAGGCUUGAGUCUUG